This is a long non-coding RNA of Lagenorhynchus albirostris (white-beaked dolphin), 474 nucleotides long. RefSeq lists it as uncharacterized. Lineage: Eukaryota; Metazoa; Chordata; Mammalia; Artiodactyla; Delphinidae. The record is from RefSeq and is a predicted model, not a curated record. The transcript has 2 exons.
ACAGCCCCACUGGACCAUGAUGUCAGCGGUGCCCCUGGCAUUGUGCAAAGCUGCGGCCUCAUUCUGCUUCCCCCGCUCUCUCUGGAUACGCUCCUCCCUGCCCCUGUGCCUCUUGAGAUGAGCGGUCUAGAAUUCAACUCAGGCCUCCUCUGCACAGAGAGGGAGAGCCCCAUCUCCUCCUACAUUUGAGACCUGCGCAGUCUGACAGCAAUAUAAGGAGACAGACACAGAGAGGACAAUGCCAUGUGAAGACGUGGAGAAGAGACGGAAAGGAACGCCGCGUGAAGACGGAGGCAGAGGAGUGAUGUGUCUAUCAGAUGAGGAACGCCAGGAUUGCCAGCAACCACCAGAAGCUAGAAGAGGGGAGGACGGAUUCACCCCUAGAGGCUUCAGAGAGAGCGUGGCACUGCCAGCACCUUGAUUUCAGGCUGCUAGUCUCCAGAACUGUGAGACAAUAAAUUCCUGUUCCUUUAA